ACACAGUGGGAAUUAUAUUUCCUGCUCAGUCGGCGGAGGUGCUGACUCCUAAGCUCAUUACAGACCACCAGAGAGUCCUGUGGCCUCCAUCUCGCGAGGAGGAGGAGAAGGAGGAGAAAGGGUCCAUGACCCAGACUUGAAUGAAGGCUCUGAGGUGGAAGAGCUAUCUCUGUGAGAGUCCCGCUGGGCACACUGUCUACUGCCUGACAGCUUCACACAGCUAACCCUGCAUUUCUACUGCACUGUGCUCAUGUAGGACUUGCUAUAAUGGACAGUGGAAAACCCUUUAACGGGUAGUGUACUACUGUACACCUGGAGAACUCAGAUGGGAAGAAACCGUCACUCCCAAUCCCUUUUCCACUCAAAGUUACAUUAAAGUCUAUUUAUUCUUGUGGUCA
Labrus bergylta (ballan wrasse) is the source of this 398-nucleotide long non-coding RNA. RefSeq lists it as uncharacterized. Lineage: Eukaryota; Metazoa; Chordata; Actinopteri; Labriformes; Labridae. The record is from RefSeq and is a predicted model, not a curated record.